This 1644-nucleotide long non-coding RNA is filed under the name Homo sapiens (human). Its description in RNAcentral is "non-protein coding lnc-LIPJ-2:1". Lineage: Eukaryota; Metazoa; Chordata; Mammalia; Primates; Hominidae. The record is from RNAcentral.
CUCCGGCCGGCCUGCAGGGGGCGGAAAGGAGGCGGCCGGAGCUGAGAGGCCCCUCCGUCCUUGAGGAGCAAACCUGGGGCUGCGGAGAACCGGGGCUGUCUGUCUUCUCGCUUUGGGGGCCGGGCGCCCUGCCCCUCGCCCAGAAAAGCCUGGAAAUGGUGUGGGCUAUUGUUGGGAGAACCCGCCUCGCAACAGAGCUGACGUUGACCACAGCAGAGAAGCAGCUUAACCUAUCUACUGCGAUAACUCUCAUGCCUGUUGGGAUUUUUGCUGUUUUACUAUUCUAGAUUUGAAAGUGGGAAGAAGAAUUUACCAGCGAUACCACGGGCAACCUUUCCUCUAAUGCUUGAACGGCCACUAUUAGCAUAAUAGAAACAUCUUUUGGAAUCUGGGAGACAUUUUUCUUAGACCUGGGACUUUGUGUAACCUUCCUGAACCUCAAUUUCUCCAUCUGGGAAAUGGAAACAAUAACGUAUACCUUUCAAACUUGUAAAGAUUAAAGACAGUUGAUUCAUCAGAAAAUUCCAAAUUACUCUUCAAUAAGUUCUAUGUCAGAACGCAUUCCGUAUGUUCUAAGGAAUAUAAAGAUGAACAACAAGAGAAGGAUUGGUGCCAUUGCCGUUGUUUUUUUCCCCCUCCUGACAUUGUACUGGAAGUUCUCAAUGAAACAACAAAGGCAAUGGUAAUACUGAACUAUUAAAAAACAAAUAAUUAAGUUACGCUGACUUGCAGAUAAAUUAUUACCUGGAAAACUAAGAAACCGAAUAAGUAUCAGAACCAAUAAGAAAAUUGACAAUGGUAGCCAAUUAUAAUGGAAACAUUUAAAAAUCAGAAUAUUUACUUCAUGUCCACAUCAUGAAAAAAAUUACCAUGUAUCAAAUGGGUGACGAAUUAAUACUAGAUAUAUCUAAUAAAAGAACUAGAAGAAAAUGUAGACGGGCAUAUAUGACUAAGAAGACAUUUUUAAGCAUAAAAAUGAAAGAUGGAAUUGAACAGAAAAUACAUAAUCAUUUACAACUUGUGUGUUACAAAAUACACAAAACAAAAUACAAAUAGUAAAUUUCUGAAAGGUGUAUGAAAGAUUAAAGUUAAUAUUAUUUAAAAACAUUAUUCAAAGUCUUAAAGACACAAAUGACAAAAGCCAAAAGGAAAAUGUGUAUAUAUUGGAUAGAGUUCUUGAAUAAAAAGAAAUACGUAAGUCCAAUAAGCAUGUGUUUAAUUUUUUAUAUUCAAAUACAAAUUAAAAUGAGGUACUAUUUUUCAUUUGUUGAGUUUUUUGUUUUUUCUUUCUUGAGACAGGGUCUUGUGUCACUCAGGCAAGAGUGCAGUGGCACGAUCAGGGCUCACUGCAGCCUUGACCUCUUAGGCUCAAGCUAUUCUCCUGCCUCAGCCACCUGAGUAGCUGGGACUACAGGUGCCCACCGCCACGUGUGGCUCAUUUUGUGGGUGUGUAUACUUUAUGUAGAGAUAAGGUUUUGCCAUGUUCCCCGGGUUAGGAAUUACUUUUGUAAAUGUAAAAAUGUCUUUUUUUCAGGGAUACAGCAAAAUACACAAUGGUAUAUUACUGAUGGAAGUGUACUAGACAAAUUUGUCAUAAUACAGUCUGAUACUAUGUCAAAAGCCUUAAAAAUAUGCCAUUUAAAG